UGGGAAUCUUCCGCAAUGGACGAAAGUCUGACGGAGCAACGCCGCGUGAGUGAUGAAGGCUUUCGGGUCGUAAAACUCUGUUGUUAGGGAAGAACAAGUGCUAGUUGAAUAAGCUGGCACCUUGACGGUACCUAACCAGAAAGCCACGGCUAACUACGUGCCAGCAGCCGCGGUAAUACGUAGGUGGCAAGCGUUAUCCGGAAUUAUUGGGCGUAAAGCGCGCGCAGGUGGUUUCUUAAGUCUGAUGUGAAAGCCCACGGCUCAACCGUGGAGGGUCAUUGGAAACUGGGAGACUUGAGUGCAGAAGAGGAAAGUGGAAUUCCAUGUGUAGCGGUGAAAUGCGUAGAGAUAUGGAGGAACACCAGUGGCGAAGGCGACUUUCUGGUCUGUAACUGACACUGAGGCGCGAAAGCGUGGGGAGCAAACAGGAUUAGAUACCCUGGUAGUCCACGCCGUAAACGAUGAGUGCUAAGUGUUAGAGGGUUUCCGCCCUUUAGUGCUGAAGUUAACGCAUUAAGCACUCCGCCUGGGGAGUACGGCCGCAAGGCUG
RNAcentral lists this ribosomal RNA (550 nucleotides) under bacterium LO335. RNAcentral's name for it is "bacterial SSU rRNA". It matches the Rfam family "Bacterial small subunit ribosomal RNA", at positions 356 to 896 of the family's 1533-position model. The record is from RNAcentral.